RNAcentral lists this non-coding RNA (30 nucleotides) under Cricetulus griseus (Chinese hamster). Lineage: Eukaryota; Metazoa; Chordata; Mammalia; Rodentia; Cricetidae. The record is from RNAcentral.
UACUGACCUAAUUUUAACUCUUAACUUUAG